Myiozetetes cayanensis is the source of this 217-nucleotide long non-coding RNA. RefSeq lists it as uncharacterized. NCBI's taxonomy places the organism in Eukaryota, Metazoa, Chordata, Aves, Passeriformes, Tyrannidae. The transcript has 3 exons. The record is from RefSeq and is a predicted model, not a curated record.
CCCCGCCCCUCCCGGGGCUGUCGGAGGAGGAGCGGCUGUCGCUGGGGCAGCAGCAGGCGGUCCUGCUGCUGCAGGAGGAGAGGGGCCAGCACCCGUUUGGGGACAAGGCCAAGGAGCAGGAGCUGCUGGAGCAGCAGAAGAGGGCCGCGGUGCUGCUGGAGCAGGAGCGGCAGCAGGAGCUGGCCAAGCUGACCCCUCCCCCGGCCCCCGAGCCCCC